RNAcentral lists this transfer RNA (90 nucleotides) under Agrocybe pediades. It matches the Rfam family "tRNA". From Rfam's summary of the family: Transfer RNA (tRNA) molecules are approximately 80 nucleotides in length. Lineage: Eukaryota; Fungi; Basidiomycota; Agaricomycetes; Agaricales; Agrocybaceae. The record is from Rfam by way of RNAcentral.
GCCCUCUUAGCUCAGUGGUAGAGCGCGCCACUCGUACGGUCACGUGAUUAAGUUAUGGUGAGGUCGGUUGUUCAAUCCAGCCAGCGGGCA